RNAcentral lists this ribosomal RNA (279 nucleotides) under uncultured bacterium. RNAcentral describes it as "partial 16S ribosomal RNA". It matches the Rfam family "Bacterial small subunit ribosomal RNA", at positions 506 to 784 of the family's 1533-position model. The record is from RNAcentral.
UGCCAGCCGCCGCGGUAAUACGAAGGUCCCGAGCGUUAUUCGGAAUCACUGGGCGUAAAGGGAGCGUAGGCUGCGCGGUAAGUCAGAUGUGAAAUCUCAGAGCUCAACUCUGAAACUGCAUCCGAUACUGCCGCGCUAGAGUAAUGGAGGGGUAACUGGAAUUCUCGGUGUAGCAGUGAAAUGCGUAGAUAUCGAGAGGAAGACCAACGGCGAAGGCAGGUUACUGGACAUUUACUGACGCUGAGGCUCGAAGGCUAGGGUAGCGAAAGGGAUUAGAUA